RNAcentral lists this ribosomal RNA (369 nucleotides) under uncultured bacterium. RNAcentral's name for it is "bacterial SSU rRNA". It matches the Rfam family "Bacterial small subunit ribosomal RNA", at positions 527 to 896 of the family's 1533-position model. The record is from RNAcentral.
GUAGGGUGCGAGCGUUAAUCGGAAUUACUGGGCGUAAAGCGUGCGCAGGCGGUUCUGCAAGUCAGAUGUGAAAUCCCCGGGCUUAACCUGGGAACUGCGUUUGAAACUACGGAGCUGGAGUGCGGCAGAGGGGGGUGGAAUUCCACGUGUAGCAGUGAAAUGCGUAGAUAUGUGGAGGAACACCGAUGGCGAAGGCAGCCCCCUGGGCCGACACUGACGCUCAGGCACGAAAGCGUGGGGAGCAAACAGGAUUAGAUACCCUGGUAGUCCACGCCCUAAACUAUGUCGACUAGUUGUCGGGGAAGCAAUUUCUUGGUAACGAAGCUAACGCGUGAAGUUGACCACCUGGGGAGUACGGUCGCAAGAUUA